UACUCAAUUCGGACCUUGAGUUUUCAACGUGAAAACGAAGGGUUUCUUACUUGAAAAUAGAACCUUUGAGUUCGUAGGGCACUCACGAACACAAUGGUGCUAAUCUCCACUUCGAUCCAUGAAGUUUCAAGGGUUUUUGGGUCGGUCCGUACAGUUUCGAGAGGGAGAGAGUGAGAGUAACAGAAAAGGAGGAGAGAGAGAGAGGGCACGGGGUGAGGGUAUCCCGUGUGUGUGUGUGUGGUCCAUCCCAAAACAAGUCCAACUUCUUUCCCUAACCACACAAAACACAUACAACCUUUAAUCAAAAUUCAAACUUUCCAAAACUUAGGGAAAAUGCAUUGUUCAAUAAUAUGUCACACACCUACCUUAGCACCCGUCAAGGACAAUUUCGUCAUUUCACAACCUCGAUAAAAAAAAUAACGGGACGGGCUGUUACAAUCCUCCCCCCUUAUAAAAUUUCGUUCUCGAAAUUCAUGCAACCAAACAAGCCAUUAAUAUUCAUAAAACAACCUCAGAUACAUCUCUCUCAUUCGAUCUUCUGUCUCCCAAGUAGUUUCUUCUACUGAGUGGUUCCGCCACAAUACUUUUACCAAGCUCACAGUCUUAUUCCUUAGAACCUUGUCUUUCUAAUCCAAGAUAGUCACUGGUUCCUCAUCAUACGUCAAAUCCAGAUUAAUCACCAAAGGUUGAGGAGGAAUCACAUGUGAAGUAUCUGAAACAUAAUGUCGAAGCAUCGAGACAUGAAACACAUUAUGUACUUUAGAUAACUCCGGAGGCAACUCCAAUCUGUAAGCGACUUCACCAAUCCUCUCAGUGAUCUCAUAAGGUCCUAUGUACCUAGGACUUAGCUUGCCUUUCUUUCCAAACCGCACUACACCUCUCCAAGGUGACAAUUUCAAGAAUACCAAAUUACCCACAUCAUAUACUCGAUCAGUAACAUGUCUAUCUGCUAAACUCUUUUGUCAAUCCUGGGCUGCUUUCAGGUUAGACUUAAUCUCCUAAACAUUUUGAGUAGUCUCAUCCACAAUCUCUGGGCCUUCUAACACUCUUUCGCCAACCUCUGACCAACAUAAUGGCGUACGACAAGCUCUACCAUAAAGUGCCUCAAAUGGUGACAUACCAAUGCUCAAAUGAAAACUAUUAUUGUAGGCAAAUUCCAUCAAGUCUAGGCGAUUAUGCCAAGAAUCACCAAACUGUAACACUGAAGAUCUCAGCAUAUCCUCUAACGUCUGAAUAGUCCUCUCUGAUUGUCCAUCGGUUUAAGGAUGAUAAGCAGUGCUGUAAAGCAGUUUCGUACCAAGAGCUUCCUGAAAAGCUAUCCAAAACUUAGAAGUAAAUCUUGGAUCUCGAUCGGAGAUAAUAUUCACUGGAACUCCAUGAUACUUCACAAUCUUCGUAAUGAACAACUUAGCCAAUUUAUUCAGGGGAUACUUUUCCCUCACGGGAAUGAAGUGUGUUGACUUGGUAAGCCGAUCUACAAUCACCCAAACACCAUCAAAUCCAUUUCGUGUACGAGGAAGCUUAUACACAAAAUCCAUAGUUAUAUUUUCCCAUUUCCACUGAGGAACGGGAAGUGGUUGCAUCCGACCAAAAGGCUUCUUUCUUUCAGCUUUGACUUGCUGGCAAACAAUACACCUACUUACAUAUUCUGCAAUUUCCCUUUUCAUACCCGGCCAAUAAUAAAAUGGUCGAAUGAUACGGUACAUCUUAGUUCCUUCUGGAUGCAUCGCAUAAGCUGAACAAUGUGCUUCAUCCAAAAUUUCUUUCUUUAGUUCCUCAUUAUUCGGCACAUACAUUCUGUUCUCCUGCAUAAGCAUGCCAUCUGAUUCUCGAACUCUGAGGUCUUUCUUUUUCCCUUCACUUCUCAAUUGAAUCAUUUCUUGAAUUUCUUCAUCUACCAUCUAAGCUUCAAGUACACAAUCAACCAAAACUAGCCUGACUUGGAAAUUAGCAAGAAAAGCUUAUCUUUGUUCUUCUAACUCCAACUUUACUCCAGUAGCUCUCAAAUCUGCAAGAAGAGGAACACGACAAGCAUACAAACCAUUGAGUUGACCUUGAGGUUUCCUACUCAGCGCAUCAGCUACCACAUUUGCACGACCCGGAUGAUACUCAAUAGUGCAGUCAUAAUCACUUAGUAACUCCAUCCACCUUCGCUGACGAAGAUUAAGAUCAUGCUGAGUGAAAAGAUACUAGAGACUCUUAUGAUCUGUGAAGAUCUUACACUUCUCACCAUAGAGAUAAUGCCUCCAAAUUUUCAAAGCAAAGACAAUGGCUGCCAACUCAAGAUCGUGAGUAGGAUAAUUCCUUUCAUGAAUCUUCAACUGUCGAGAAGCAUAGGCAAUCACUCUAUUAUGCUGCAUCAAAACACAUCCCAAACCAUUCAAAGAAACAUCACUGUAAAUCUCAAAGUUACCACUAUCAUUAAGAAGUACCAAUACUGGAGCAUGAGUGAGGCAAUAUUUCAGCUGCUGGAAACUUUGCUCACAAUUUUCGUCCCACUCGAACUUAACAUCCUUCCUGGUUAAUUUCGUUAGUGGCAAAGCAAUCAUAGAAAAAUCUUGAACAAACCGUCGAUAAUAACCUGCUAAACCAAGAAAACUCCAUACCUCAGUGACGGUUCGUGGCUGUUCCCAAUUUUCCACUGCAGCAAUCUUUUGAGGAUCUACUUGAAUUCCUUGUGCUGAUACUGCAUGCCCUAAAAAUGCCACUUCAUUCAACCAAAACUGACAUUUACUGAACUUGGCAUACAACCGACGCUCCCUCAAUUUCUUCAAUACCAAGUUAAGAUGUCGAAUAUGAUCUGCUUUUGACUUAGAGUAUACCAAAAUAUCAUCGAUAAAGACAAUGACAAACCUGUCAAGAUAUUGCUGGAAUACCUCAUUCAUUAGCCUCAUGAAAGCUGCAGGUGCAUUAGUCAAUCCAAAUGGCAUCACCAAAAAUUCAUAAUGUCCAUAACGGGUCCUGAAAGCCAUCUUAGGUACAUCAUCAUCUUUAAUCUUCAAUUGAUAAUAGCCAGAUCUCAAAUCAAUCUUAGAGAACACACACGCACAUUUAAGCUGAUCAAACAAAUCAUCGAUACGAGGCAAUGGAUAACGGUUUUUAAUCGUUACCCAAUUCAAUUGCCUGUAAUCGAUACAUAAUCUCAAAGUUCCAUCUUUCUUCCUUACAAAUAACACUGGAGCUCCCCAAGGUGAAGUACUAGGUUGAAUGAAACCUUUAUCAAUUAAUUCCUGUAACUGAAUUUUCAACUCUCUCAGUUCAGCUGGAGCCAUUCUAUAUGGAGUUAAAGAUAUAGGAUCUGUAACUGGAAGCAAAUCAAUAGAAAACUCCACAUCUCUAUCUGGCAGUAAUCCCGGCAAAUCAUCUGGGAAUACAUCAGGAUAGUGCCUGACUACUCCAACUUCCUCCACACUGCUAGGAACAACAUCAUUUAACACCACAUGUGCUAAGUAUCCUUGACAACCUUUCGAUAACAACUUCUUUGCUCUCAUGGCAGAAAUAACACCAUGUCUCACCCUACUGCUUUCACCCACAAAAGUAACUGCUGGUAGUCCAGGACGAUGAAAAGUAACUGACUUCCCGUAAUAAUCUAUAUGGGCAUGAUUAUAAUGCAACCAAUCUGCCCCUAAAAUCACAUCAAAAUCCACAAUAUCUAACGGGAUAAGAUUAGCUGGCAUAACUACACCAUCUACCAUCACUGGACACCCUGGAUAAAUACUAUCAACAUAACAUUUGUCCCCUCUAGGCAUAGCAAACUCUAAAUCAAAUCCUAGAGGUGUAGGGUGAGGUUGAGUCAUUUGAGCAAACGUAUGAGAAAUCACAGAAUGUGUAGCACCACAAUCAAUCAAGACUCUAGCAAAAUGACCAAGAAUUUUUAAUGUACCCAUAAUCAAAUCUGGAUGGUUCUGAGCAUCUUGCAGUGAGAUGUGAUUAACACGUCCCUAAGCUUGCUGUCGUCCAUCACGACCUCUGUUGCCUUGGUUACCUCGCCCCUGAGAAGUACGUCCCUGUCCUGGUUGAUUAGACUGCAUAGAUGGUCAUGCACCACUAGUAGCAACCUCCCCCUGACGGGGCUGACCUCCCUGAUGCCAUUGAGAUCCACUAGUUGGCAUGGAAAAAUAAGAAGUAUAACCUCCAGGGUCUUGGGAAUACCCAGUCUGAGAAUAAGGAUCUUGGGAAUACUGAUAUUGUCCGGAAGCAUAGGGAGCAGCAUCACCCUGAUAAUGGUAAGCACCACUAUGACCCAUCUGACCAUAACUGCCUGAUCUAAAGCUCUGCUGGAUCGGCACUGGAGGUGGCAUAGCAGACUGUUGAGAUCUCUGCUAACUCUAGGGAAACUGAGCAGCCAUAUGUCCCAUCUGUCCACAAGUGUAGCAAGCACCACCACCACCACUUCUCUUACAUUCUCCAUGAUGUCUGAAGUUAUAACGGCGGCACAACGGAGCACCAGAACCACCAGCACCACCAAAAUCUCUCUGUCUCUGAAACCUGGGUCCACCAGCAAAUCUUCCACCUCUCCUCGGGCCUGUGACACUAAAUCCUCCACUGGAAGAACUCGAGCUCGCUCCAUUUUUCUUGAAAUUAUGUGUCUUACAAGGUCCCUGAGUGGAAAUACCUUUACCCCUAUCAUCUUUCUUCUGGUUAUCAUUCUUAUCUUCAUCAUCCUCACUGUUACUAGGAAGGUUAUCGAAAUCCUCCAUCCCAACCAAAAUCUCAUAAAACUCAUGAUAAGUGGUGCAAGGAAGCGCACUAGCAAAAGUCCGCCAUUUCCUCUUAGUUCCCAGCUUAAAACGCGCGAAGCAUCUCUGCCUGAUUACCAGCUGUAUCAGGGUCAUAAUGAGACAAGUCUGUAAACUUCCUGUAAUACUCAUACGCCGACAUAUUCUUUUGCUUCAAUUGAGUGAACUCCUGCUUCUUACGAUCAAUGUACUCCAGAGGAACAAAUCUUUUCAUAAAAUUCUCUUUGAAUACUUCCCAGUCAGCUUCCAUCUCAGGUGACAUAAGUUAGUCUGAUUUACCCACCAAGCUGCUGGCUCUCGCCCCAAAAACCAAGUAGUGGUCUCAACCCAUCUAUUAACAGGAAGAUUCCCUUGACUCUGCAUCACCUGAAAAGUCUUCUCAAUAUGGUCUAACCACUUUUCAGCCCCUUCAUGACCCUCAUUACCCAUGAAACGGUCCAAUUUUAGAUUAUACAUAGUCUCCAGGGGUGUUCUUUGAGGAGGAGGAGGAUGGAUUGCAUUCUGAAAGGCAUGGGCCAUCGCUUCCCCUAAUUGAGUUCUAUCAGGGAAAUUAGACUCAGAAGCACUGCGUGAUUCCCUACGAGGCGGCAUAGUUCUGACAGAAGACACCAAAAGAUCAUUAGAGCAUUAACAAUUUAUACAGGACUGCAACCUAGGCUCUGAUACCAAACUAACAUACCCCGAUCCUAGAAUCAAGGUGUGCUGGCCGUCACGUGGGCGUGAUGUAACCAAAAGUGCGAGGCGGAAGCAAUAGAUAAGAGAAAUACGAAGGAAUAAAAACCAACUACUAGCAAUAAUAACCAAGUAACGUGCUAGAGUAAGUUUAAGUGUGAAACACACAAAUUCAGAGCAUAAGUACUAGGUGCAGUCAAGUAGGACCAUAACUAAAUUACAACACCCACAGGUAAGUCUUGAAGGAAAUUUUGUGAAAAACAUGUUCAUUUAAGCAACAUCUAUAGCAUGCAAUUAACAAUUAAAAGGCGGAAUCAUGCUUGUAUGCACUCAAAACAAAACAUUACCCAUGAAAUUCAAAGCCUAGUAGAUUGGUGAACCUUGACUCAACUUAAAACAACAUUUGUUAGUUGAGAAAUUAUACCUUUGUAGAUUCCUCUUUGCAUAAGCAAAGGCUAAUCACCCAAAGAGAGGGCCUUCAUUCCUUGCAUCUUAGAUCUAUGGAUUUGGAUGGAUGAAAUGGUUCUCCAAGUUCCCAAAAUUGAGAACCUCUAAGUCUCUUCACCAAGGUUAGAUUGGAGAAGAAAUGAGUGACCUUGGAGUAGUAGGAUUGCUAGCUAAACCCUCCAAGGAGGCCGGCCACUUUAGAGAGAAAGGAGAGCUUAUGUUCUCAUCCUUUCCCCAAAAGAAAACCCUAAAUGAAUUUUGGCUAUAAAGUCAUAUUUAUACCUUAAUUCAUUGGAGUGGCAAACUUGUAAAUAAGUCCAAAACUCACUCCAUCUCUAAAUGGCCGGCCUUAGCGUAUUAUUGGGCUAAUUGGGCCUUUGUGAAUCAUUAUUCAUUAAGUUGUCAUACAACUUAAUUCAAUGGGCUUGACGUUCGAAACCCAUUGGGCCUUAAGGUCCAAAACUAUCCCGAGGUCUUUAACGAACUUAUUCGUUUGAUUAAUUAACAUAUUAAUUAAUCCUUGCCAUAAAUAAUUAAACCAUUUAAUUAUUCUUACUCAUCUCCAUUGUUUCUUCAAUCUCCACCUUACACGGUGUACGAUCCAUUAGGUUCCUUUUAGCGAGGCAGUAGACGAUUAAAACCAUUUCAAAUCGAUUGUGAAUUGAAACUUACUUUCAAUUCUCCCUUUAGUGAUUAUACACGUUUAGGGCUUCCACAAACCAUGAGUGACACCUAGCAGCAUAUCAUGGUUACCCAAGCUAAUCAGAAGAGGUGGAGAACCUAUUCAGUUUAGGAUUACAAAUGCACUACGGUCUUUCUCUAAUACAAUACUCUUGACCACAUUGUUUCGUUUGAUAGUUUAUUCAUGUCUACUAUCCAAUGUGAUUCGUGUGUUUAUAUGAUUACCUUGAAUGUGAUUUGGAACGACUUCCUAAAUCUCAUUCAUACUCUGGCCAGAGAUUCUUAAUCAUAUCAUGGAGUAUUCUCCCCCAAACGGUUUGAAGGUUAGAGAUCCCUUGUUGCGCAUUCACUUGCCUCCAUGGCUAAGUGGCUUAACCCCGACGAUGCCGUGGACACCCUCCUGAUUGAGUAACUUUGACAUAAUCAAAGAUCAAGGACUUAACCACAAAACAACUAUGAUGCCUCAGGUCAAAUGACUACUUUGCAUUAUCCCAACCAUGAGUUCUCAUGUGACAUGAGUAUGAGAACUCCUCGUUGAUCGUGUUCAGUGGACUCAUUCAUUAUUGAGCACCUACAUGCUUGUCUUGAUGUCACACACACCAAUGACUCGAGACUAGUCACUUUCCCUGAGAGAAGACACAGCACGUACUGAUCUUAACGAACUGUCAAUGCCCAAUUGGCAAUCCUAUGAUCAGGAACGUUUAGGAUGUGUCUACGAAAGAAUGGUCUCAUGAAUCUAACUUCUUUAGAUCGCAUUCUCCCAAUCACAUAUUCCUUGGACUUAUCGUUUAAGCGUAUAACAUUUAUAUGAGACGGCUCAAACAAUAAUCUUUGCCCUUGAUAUUAAACUAGAUUAGUUUAACAUGUGAAAUGUCCAUAAAGUAUCAUCAUAUGAUUGGUUUUAGGGCACAUUUCCAACAAGUCCUACAUUUAUGUAGUCUGUCAGUACGCCAUGGGAAUCCUCGUGGGCCACCGACGCUGCUAACUAGAACCUGGAGGGGCGUAAAACAAAAUUGAAUGGGUCAGUAAAACCAAAGUUUUUCAAAAAUAUUUCAUUUAAAACAUUUCUAACCCCUCACUGUAAAACCUGUAUACUUUCCCAAAAAAUAACAUAAUAUGCAUAUAAUCUUCGUAUAUCUCAAAUCACAAUUCUUUAUCAAAACCCAGAAAAUAUGCCAUGCUAUAAAUGUCAAUAACAGAUUAAGAAUGCAUCAAUAUAACAUGUGACAUAAUGAAUCAACCGGAGACCCUGCAGUUGGUCCUGUACGGUUAAUUCCAUAGCUCAAUAUCCAAACCAACCGGAGUCACCACGGUGACCUGUACGGCACUACUCUGCACAUAAGUUGGAACUACCUGAAAUAGUCUGUAUGACAAGAAUGGUGUAAUAAUACGCUCUAGUGCUUCUCUCAUCAAUCAUCUGUGCACAUAAUCUAAGGUCACCUACCAGUCGGAACCACCUCUAGUGAUCUGUACGACUAGCAUGUCGGAAGCCUCUCAUGGUCUGUACCACAUGCACCUACUUGGAUCCAAGGUGAGCGUGCGGUGCAGGUGAAUAAUAUAAGCACUAACACCAGGGGUGCAGGUUAUGAGCUCUUAACACAAUUCACAUCAUCAAUGAUUCACAUGAAUAACAUAAAACUCACCUGAUACUCACCUGUGCGUCCACAACACCAAUUCACAUAUAUGCAUCAAAUACUAAUUCAUAUAAUUCAUAUAUAUGUAUGCAUGGCAUUUUAAAACAUACUUUCAUUUAAAUUCAAUUUCUGGGAAAAUCGAUAGUAUAUAGGUAAAUACAGAAAAUACUGCCCACUCACUGGUAAGUCGAAGGGUCGUAACCCCCGUGACGUCCCUGGAUGCGCUCGUCCUCGGGAUAGGUAUCACCUAUAUGCGAAACAACUAUAAAAACGUUAAUUAAAGCACAUAACCGACAAUUCGUAAUAACUUUUCAUAUGGUGCUUAAUUUGGGUAUAUGAAUAUACCACAGUGACCUACUCGACGUUACGGACGUCGACAUAUUUUUAGAAAAAAAUUUUGAGGCUGCACGCGCCCCCAUGCGCCGGGAAGGGCACGGACCCACGCACCCCACGCCGCGUCAUCUUCUUCCUCCAGUCGCCGGACUGGUUUUUCCGGUCACCGGAAACUGGAGAUUUUUCAAUCUCCUUGUUCCCUGUAAUUUCUUAACCAUUUUCCAUGAAAUUUUCACCAAAAUGUCCUAAAUCACGAGGGGAAGAAGGCUAUACCUCUUUGGAGUCUCAAAACCUUCGAAAAUCACGUCGGCAAACUUCACCAAAAUCGGCCACCUUUGAACCUUGUGAUCCCGACGUCCAAAACCUUCCAACAAACGUCCCCGAGCUUCAUGAGAACCUCCUUAAGCUCACUAUGAACUUGGAUUGUCCUAAAAACCAACCAUUACAAAGUUCAUGAAUAGUACUCAAUUCGAACCUUGAGUUUUCAACGUGAAAACGAAGGGUUUCUUACCUGAAAAUGGAACCUUUGAGUUCGUAGGGCACUCACGAACACAAUGGUGCUAAUCUCCACUUCAAUCCAUGAAGUUUCAAGGGUUUUUGGGUCGGUCCGUACAGUUUCGAGAGGGAGAGAGUGAGAGUGACAGAGAAGGAGGAGAGAGAGAGGGCACGGGGUGAGGGUAUCCCGUGUGUGUGUGUGUGGUCCAUCCCAAAACAAGUCCAACUUCUUUCCCUAACCACACAAAACACAUACAACCUUUAAUCAAAAUUCAAACUUUCCAAAACUUAGGGAAAAUUCAUUGUUCAAUAAUAUGUCACACACCUACCUUAGCACCUGUCAA
This 9345-nucleotide long non-coding RNA is filed under the name Malus domestica (apple). Its description in RNAcentral is "long non-coding RNA (MDOM_LNC005966)". The record is from RNAcentral. Lineage: Eukaryota; Viridiplantae; Streptophyta; Magnoliopsida; Rosales; Rosaceae.